CCAGACUCCUACGGGAGGCAGCAGUGGGGAAUAUUGCACAAUGGGGGGAACCCUGAUGCAGCGAUGCCGCGUGGAGGAAGAAGGUUUUCGGAUUGUAAACUCCUUUUAUCAGGGACGAUAAUGACGGUACCUGAAGAAAAAGCUCCGGCUAACUACGUGCCAGCAGCCGCGGUAAUACGUAGGGGGCAAGCGUUAUCCGGAUUUACUGGGUGUAAAGGGAGCGUAGACGGCAGCGCAAGUCUGGAGGUAAAUGCCGGGGCCCAACCCCGGAACUGCUUUGGAAACUGUGCAGCUCGAGUGCAGGAGAGGUAAGCGGAAUUCCUAGUGUAGCGGUGAAAUGCGUAGAUAUUAGGAGGAACACCAGUGGCGAAGGCGGCUUACUGGACUGUAACUGACGUUGAGGCUCGAAAGCGUGGGGGGCAAACAGGAUUAGAUACCCUUGUAA
Molecule: ribosomal RNA, 445 nt
Filed under: uncultured bacterium
Lineage: Bacteria
Description: bacterial SSU rRNA
Rfam family: Bacterial small subunit ribosomal RNA
Source: RNAcentral